This 292-nucleotide ribosomal RNA is filed under the name uncultured bacterium. RNAcentral's name for it is "partial 16S ribosomal RNA". It matches the Rfam family "Bacterial small subunit ribosomal RNA", at positions 505 to 796 of the family's 1533-position model. The record is from RNAcentral.
GUGUCAGCCGCCGCGGUAAUACAGAGGUCUCAAGCGUUGUUCGGAUUCAUUGGGCGUAAAGCGCGUUCAGGCGGUUGGGCAAGUCGGGCAUGAAAUCCCUCGGCUUAACCGGGGAACUGCGUCUGAUACUGGAUGGCUUGAGGUUGGGAGAGGGAUGCGGAAUUCCAGGUGUAGCGGUGAAAUGCGUAGAUAUCUGGAGGAACACCGGUGGCGAAGGCGGCAUCCUGGACCAAUUCUGACGCUGAGGAGCGAAAGCCAGGGGAGCAAACGGGAUUAGAUACCCCUGUAGUCC